AGUGAACGCUGGCGGUAGGCCUAACACAUGCAAGUCGAACGUCAGCACAGUAAGAGCUUGCUCUUACGGGUGGCGAGUGGCGGACGGGUGAGGAAUACAUCGGAAUCUACUUUUUCGUGGGGGAUAACGUAGGGAAACUUACGCUAAUACCGCAUACGACCUACGGGUGAAAGCAGGGGAUCUUCGGACCUUGCGCGAUUGAAUGAGCCGAUGUCGGAUUAGCUAGUUGGCGGGGUAAAGGCCCACCAAGGCGACGAUCCGUAGCUGGUCUGAGAGGAUGAUCAGCCACACUGGAACUGAGACACGGUCCAGACUCCUACGGGAGGCAGCAGUGGGGAAUAUUGGACAAUGGGCGCAAGCCUGAUCCAGCCAUACCGCGUGGGUGAAGAAGGCCUUCGGGUUGGAAAGCCCUUUUGUUGGGAAAGAAAAGCAGCAGGUUAAUACCCCGCUGUUCUGACGGUACCCAAAGAAUAAGCACCGGCUAACUUCGUG
Molecule: ribosomal RNA, 492 nt
Filed under: uncultured bacterium
Lineage: Bacteria
Description: partial 16S ribosomal RNA
Rfam family: Bacterial small subunit ribosomal RNA
Source: RNAcentral